Molecule: ribosomal RNA, 274 nt
Filed under: uncultured bacterium
Lineage: Bacteria
Description: partial 16S ribosomal RNA
Rfam family: Bacterial small subunit ribosomal RNA
Source: RNAcentral
AUAUGAAGGGGGCUAGCGUUGUUCGGAAUUACUGGGCGUAAAGCGCGUGUAGGCGGAUCGUUAAGUCAGGGGUGAAAGCCCGGGGCUCAACCCCGGAACUGCCCUUGAUACUGGCGAUCUAGAGUCCGGAAGAGGUGGGCGGAAUUCCCGGUGUAGAGGUGAAAUUCGUAGAUAUCGGGAGGAACACCAGUGGCGAAGGCGGCUCACUGGUCCGAUACUGACGCUGAGACGCGAAAGCGUGGGGAGCAAACAGGAUUAGAUACCCUAGUAGUCC